CUUCAGAAAUCUUUAUAGUUUAGGUCUUUUAAACCUAAAAUAAGUAAAACGCUUUACUGCUGGAGA
This 66-nucleotide transfer RNA is filed under the name Engaeus quadrimanus. RNAcentral's name for it is "tRNA-Lys". Lineage: Eukaryota; Metazoa; Arthropoda; Malacostraca; Decapoda; Parastacidae. The record is from RNAcentral.